AACGAACGCUGGCGGCAUGCCUAACAUAUGCAAGUCGAACGAGGCCUUCGGGUCUAGUGGCGCACGGGUGCGUAACGCGUGGGAACCUGCCCUUAGGUUCGGAAUAACUCCCCGAAAGGGGUGCUAAUACCGGAUAAUGUCUUCGGACCAAAGAUUUAUCGCCUUUGGAUGGGCCCGCGUUGGAUUAGCUAGUUGGUAGGGUAAAAGCCUACCAAGGCGACGAUCCAUAGCUGGUCUGAGAGGAUGAUCAGCCACACUGGGACUGAGACACGGCCCAGACUCCUACGGGAGGCAGCAGUGGGGAAUAUUGGACAAUGGGCGAAAGCCUGAUCCAGCAAUGCCGCGUGAGUGAUGAAGGCCUUAGGGUUGUAAAGCUCUUUUACCCGGGAUGAUAAUGACAGUACCGGGAGAAUAAGCUCCGGCUAACUCCGUG
This 433-nucleotide ribosomal RNA is filed under the name uncultured bacterium. RNAcentral describes it as "partial 16S ribosomal RNA". It matches the Rfam family "Bacterial small subunit ribosomal RNA", at positions 29 to 507 of the family's 1533-position model. The record is from RNAcentral.